UACGGAGGAUGCAAGCGUUAUCCGGAAUCAUUGGGCGUAAAGCGUCUGUAGGUGGCUUGGUAAGUCGACUGUUAAAUCGUAGAGCUUAACUCUAUAUCGGCAGUCGAAACUACUUCGCUUGAGUGUGGUAGGGGCAGAGGGAAUUCCCGGUGUAGCGGUGAAAUGCGUAGAUAUCGGGAAGAACACCAACGGCGAAAGCACUCUGCUGGGCCAACACUGACACUGAGAGACGAAAGCUAGGGUAGCCAAUGGG
This 253-nucleotide ribosomal RNA is filed under the name uncultured bacterium. RNAcentral's name for it is "partial 16S ribosomal RNA". It matches the Rfam family "Bacterial small subunit ribosomal RNA", at positions 524 to 776 of the family's 1533-position model. The record is from RNAcentral.